RNAcentral lists this transfer RNA (66 nucleotides) under Hemithyrsocera longiseta. RNAcentral describes it as "tRNA-Met". The record is from RNAcentral. Lineage: Eukaryota; Metazoa; Arthropoda; Insecta; Blattodea; Blattellidae.
AGAAAAGUAAGCUAAUUUAAGCUAAUGGGUUCAUACCCCAUAAAUGGAUGGACAUUCCCUUCUCUA